UGGGGAAUCUUCGGCAAUGGACGAAAGUCUGACCGAGCAACGCCGCGUGAGUGAAGAAGGUUUUCGGAUCGUAAAACUCUGUUGUUAGAGAAGAACAAGGACGUUAGUAACUGAACGUCCCCUGACGGUAUCUAACCAGAAAGCCACGGCUAACUACGUGCCAGCAGCCGCGGUAAUACGUAGGUGGCAAGCGUUGUCCGGAUUUAUUGGGCGUAAAGCGAGCGCAGGCGGUUUCUUAAGUCUGAUGUGAAAGCCCCCGGCUCAACCGGGGAGGGUCAUUGGAAACUGGGAGACUUGAGUGCAGAAGAGGAGAGUGGAAUUCCAUGUGUAGCGGUGAAAUGCGUAGAUAUAUGGAGGAACACCAGUGGCGAAUGCGGCUCUCUGGUCUGUAACUGACGCUGAGGCUCGAAAGCGUGGGGAGCAAACAGG
RNAcentral lists this ribosomal RNA (429 nucleotides) under Chloroflexota bacterium. Its description in RNAcentral is "Chloroflexi bacterium partial 16S ribosomal RNA". It matches the Rfam family "Bacterial small subunit ribosomal RNA", at positions 355 to 776 of the family's 1533-position model. Lineage: Bacteria; Bacillati; Chloroflexota. The record is from RNAcentral.